RNAcentral lists this non-coding RNA (140 nucleotides) under human gut metagenome. Its description in RNAcentral is "glmS glucosamine-6-phosphate activated ribozyme". It matches the Rfam family "glmS glucosamine-6-phosphate activated ribozyme aptamer", at positions 12 to 149 of the family's 167-position model. Rfam says of the family: This entry contains a glucosamine-6-phosphate activated ribozyme that is found in the mRNA for GlmS. GlmS is an enzyme that uses fructose-6-phosphate and glutamine to generate glucosamine-6-phosphate. The ribozyme catalyses self cleavage of the glmS mRNA that is thought to regulate GlmS activity. RNAcentral also lists the same sequence under 1 other name. The record is from RNAcentral.
UGAGCGCCGGGCCACGCGGGUGAGAGCCGUGCGGGUGACGAGGAAAAGGAUCAUCGAAAGAUUCGGCGGAUGUCCUUUUGGCUGAGGGCCGUUCCAGCCAGGAGCAGGGGACAAAAACCGGCAGCGAUGCCGGAACAAAU